GCGGUAUCAUCUGCAAACUUGUAGCUGGAGUUAGAGCAGAAUCUGGCCACGCAGUCAUGAAUAUGAAUAAGCUACCGCAGAAUUAACCUGCUUUGAUACAAACAGAGAAGCUCAGUUGUCAAAUCAUGAAUUGGAGAAAAUUGGCUUGGAGGACUCGAAUAAAAUGCAGGAACUACACAUCAGGGAGCAUCGAGAUCAUAUAAUCUGCAUGAUCAGAGGAGCCAGUGGAAGGGCAAAACAAAUAUUGACAGCCCCAAUCCAAAGGAACAACAACAGUGAAACCAAUCAGAUAUGUCUGAAAAUUGUUCAAAACUCA
Molecule: long non-coding RNA, 316 nt
Organism: Pristis pectinata (smalltooth sawfish)
Lineage: Eukaryota; Metazoa; Chordata; Chondrichthyes; Rhinopristiformes; Pristidae
Exons: 3
Source: RefSeq, a predicted model, not a curated record